This 224-nucleotide long non-coding RNA is filed under the name Ananas comosus (pineapple). Its description in RNAcentral is "long non-coding RNA (ACOM_LNC043273)". Lineage: Eukaryota; Viridiplantae; Streptophyta; Magnoliopsida; Poales; Bromeliaceae. The record is from RNAcentral.
AUGUAUUGUAAAGAAUGAUGAAAAUGACAAUGUUUAAAGUUAAAGUAAUGUGGGGAGUAAAUAACGUGAAGUGCUAGAGGUAGCCAAAAGUAAAGAAUGUAAAGAAUAUAAUUGCUAGAGUUAGCAAAAGUAAAAGAAACGUAAAGAAUGUGAUUGCAUGAGUUUGCAACAUAAAGUGAUGUAAAGAACACUAGAGCUAGUGUAAAGUCAAGAUUGAACUUAUA